CGACCCUAAAAACAAUACAGUCAUUACACUACUGUCACACGGCCCUGCACACAAUACACCAUAUAUAACACGACCCUAAAAACAAUACAGUUGUUAUACUAGUCACACGGCCCUGCACACAAUACGCUAUACAUAACACGACCCUAAAAACAAUACAGUCAUUACACUACUGUCACACGGCCUUGCACACAAUACACCAUAUAUAACACGACCCUAAAAACAAUACAGUCAUUACACUACUGUCACACGGCCCUGCACACAAUACACCAUAUAUAACACGACCCUAAAAACAAUACAGUCAUUACACUACUGUCACACGGCCCUGCACACAAUACGCUAUACAAAAACGAUUUGAUGCGAUUCGUUAUUUUAAGUCUUUGUUCUCCCCGAUUGGACAGCGCUUAAAGAUCAGAAGAGUCGGCAAAAAAAAAGAGAUUUGAUUUAUGAAAACCACAGCUUGUUUAUUAGAAUCCUUGAGCGUGGGUUCGCAGAUCUCUCAAAGUCGCAUUCACUAAAGACUGAUGCAGAAGACCUUAAUAUGGCGCUAUAUCAUGACGUACCUUCAGAAAGUCCACGCCACCUUCCCUCUUUACUACUCGACGCAUGUCAUGAGCGACGUUGAAUAUCACGUGCAGCUGAAAAAUUAAAUUGAUAAAUAUAAAUAAACAUGUUUUUGUUUAAAUUCUGUAUUGGAAGACAAAUAAAUUUGAAGAAAUUUCGAAAUAACCACCUAAAAACGUCUAAAAUAGAUGUUGAUUUCAUUUACAAAAUCAUCCAUCGAUAAAAAAAAUUCGUCAUCUGUAUAUUGUUUAACGUGUUCUGGAUGAUCGUAUGGAAACAAGACUUAGAGUUAGAGACCAAGCGCGGAUUGUAAUCUGUACAUUGUGUGUUAAUUUGUUCUAGAUGAUCACACGGAAACGAAAAUUUAGAAUUAUCUGCCAAAUACGGGUUUUAGUGGGGUAAAUUGUUAAAUGUAUAUUAGAUGGUCAUAUAGAAACGAGCGUUUAGAGUUAUCUGCCAAAUACGGGUUUUAGUGGGGUAAAUUGUUAAAUGUAUAUUAGAUGGUCAUAUAGAAACGAGCGUUUAGAGUUAUCUAUACAGACACGGGCGGACAUGAGACAACCAAUGAAUAUCACACCACCAAGGCAAGGACAAGCGUUUGCACUCAACACCACAGACCAUUCUCACAUCCUCCAUGUACCUGCUCUUUCGUGAGCUGGCCAGCGCUGAGGAUGUGGCCGGUGAUCACUUGUGCUGGGAUGACGGGCAUGACGUCACGCAGCACUGGGGCCUGCACAGCCACCGGGGUGGAGGGGCCGCGUGAGACUGGUUCUGACAUGUGUGGGGAGGUGUCUACUAAAAAAAGAAGGAACAGGUCAGAUCGGCAAGGGGAGACGGUUUGAGCCGUGAUAUGUUAACCACAGCUUUAUAGUACGACGCACGCUACCUUGGCCAAAUUGGCGAUUUAAAGAAACGAUAAGAACUUCCUUAGCCAACCAGUGUGGCAAAGACAUGCUUUAACGAGGAUCCAUUGGAGGGCAAGUCUGGUGCCAGCAGCCGCGGUGAUUCCAGCUCCAAUAGCGUAUAUUAAAGUUGUUGCAGU
Molecule: long non-coding RNA, 1603 nt
Organism: Nematostella vectensis (starlet sea anemone)
Lineage: Eukaryota; Metazoa; Cnidaria; Anthozoa; Actiniaria; Edwardsiidae
Exons: 2
Source: RefSeq, a predicted model, not a curated record